GUCCCUCGGGGAUAUUUAAUAAAAUUGGAAUAAUACAGAAAAGAUUAAUAUAUCAGCGUAAGAAUAACACGUAUAAAUCGAAAAAUAAUCUAAAAUUUU
RNAcentral lists this small nuclear RNA (99 nucleotides) under Nicotiana sylvestris (wood tobacco). Lineage: Eukaryota; Viridiplantae; Streptophyta; Magnoliopsida; Solanales; Solanaceae. The record is from RNAcentral.